Bufo bufo (common toad) is the source of this 134-nucleotide small nucleolar RNA. RefSeq annotates it as small nucleolar RNA SNORA29. The record is from RefSeq and is a predicted model, not a curated record. The transcript has a single exon. Lineage: Eukaryota; Metazoa; Chordata; Amphibia; Anura; Bufonidae.
GACCCCGUUUUAGUACCACUUCUUCUUUUUCUCAGAAUAAGUGGCUAUGCUAAGGGGGAAGAGCAGCAUCUGCUAUCAUCUGAAGGGGAAGGCGUCUCCAUCACCUUCUAUAUGAACUAGCAGGACAAUUCUUU